Molecule: ribosomal RNA, 465 nt
Filed under: uncultured Klebsiella sp.
Lineage: Bacteria; Pseudomonadati; Pseudomonadota; Gammaproteobacteria; Enterobacterales; Enterobacteriaceae
Description: bacterial SSU rRNA
Rfam family: Bacterial small subunit ribosomal RNA
Source: RNAcentral
CCUACGGGGGGCUGCAGUGGGGAAUAUUGCACAAUGGGCGCAAGCCUGAUGCAGCCAUGCCGCGUGUGUGAAGAAGGCCUUCGGGUUGUAAAGCACUUUCAGCGGGGAGGAAGGCGUUAAGGUUAAUAACCUUGUCGAUUGACGUUACCCGCAGAAGAAGCACCGGCUAACUCCGUGCCAGCAGCCGCGGUAAUACGGAGGGUGCAAGCGUUAAUCGGAAUUACUGGGCGUAAAGCGCACGCAGGCGGUCUGUCAAGUCGGAUGUGAAAUCCCCGGGCUCAACCUGGGAACUGCAUUCGAAACUGGCAGGCUAGAGUCUUGUAGAGGGGGGUAGAAUUCCAGGUGUAGCGGUGAAAUGCGUAGAGAUCUGGAGGAAUACCGGUGGCGAAGGCGGCCCCCUGGACAAAGACUGACGCUCAGGUGCGAAAGCGUGGGGAGCAAACAGGAUUAGAUACCCAAGUAGUC